This 328-nucleotide ribosomal RNA is filed under the name uncultured bacterium. RNAcentral describes it as "bacterial SSU rRNA". It matches the Rfam family "Bacterial small subunit ribosomal RNA", at positions 568 to 898 of the family's 1533-position model. The record is from RNAcentral.
UGCGUAGGUGGUUCCAUAAGUCAGUGGUGAAAUACGGCAGCUUAACUGUCGAGGUGCCAUUGAUACUGCGGAACUUGAGUACAGACGAGGUAGGCGGAAUUGACGGUGUAGCGGUGAAAUGCUUAGAUAUCGUCAAGAACACCGAUAGCGAAGGCAGCUUACUAGACUGUAACUGACACUGAGGCACGAAAGUGUGGGGAUCAAACAGGAUUAGAUACCCUGGUAGUCCACACUGUAAACGAUGAUUACUCGAUGUUGGCGAUACACAGCCAGCGUCUUAGCGAAAGCGAUAAGUAAUCCACCUGGGGAGUACGCCCGCAAGGGUGAA